RNAcentral lists this ribosomal RNA (1281 nucleotides) under Triticum aestivum (bread wheat). Its description in RNAcentral is "partial small subunit ribosomal RNA". The record is from RNAcentral. Lineage: Eukaryota; Viridiplantae; Streptophyta; Magnoliopsida; Poales; Poaceae.
AUGGAUCCCCAUCCACGGGCGCACGUUCCUCUACUGGUUCGGAUCCAGGCCGACCCUGUGCGUGGCCGACGUGAACGUGGUGAAGCAGGUGCUCUCCGACCGCAGCGGGCUGUACCCCAAGAACAUCGGCAACCCGCACAUCGCCCGGCUGCUCGGCAAGGGGCUCGUGCUCACCGACGCUGGAAGCGCCACCGCAAGGUCGUCCACCCUGCCUUCAACAUGGACAAGCUCAAGAUGAUGACGGUGACCAUGUCCGACUGCGCUGGGUCAAUGAUGUCUGAGUGGAAGGCAAAGAUGGAGAAGGGUGGCGACAUAGAGAUUGAGCUGAGCAGCCAAUUUGAGGAGCUAACCGCUGAUGUGAUCUCGCACACGGCAUUCGGGAGCAGCUACGAACAGGGGAAAAAGGUCUUCUUGGCACAGAGGGAGCUCCAGUUUCUUGCCUACUCCACUGUAUUUAACGUACAAAUCCCAGCAUUGAGGUACCUUCCAACUGAAAAGAACCUUAAGAUAUGGAAGCUUGACAAGGAGGUGAGGAGCAUGCUCAUGAACAUCAUCAAAACCCGCCUUGAGAACAAAGACACCAUGGGUUACGGCAACGACCUACUCGGGCUCAUGUUGGAGGCGUGCGCACCAGAGCAUGGGCAAAAUCCUAUUUUGAGCAUGGACGAGAUCAUAGAUGAGUGCAAGACCUUCUUCUUCGCAGGGCAUGACACCAGCUCACACCUGCUCACAUGGACCAUGUUCUUGUUGAGCACACACCCAGAGUGGCAGGAGAAGCUCAGAGAGGAGGUGCUGAGGGAGUGUGGCAAUGGGGCUCCCACCGGAGACAUGCUCAACAAACUGCAGUUGGUCAACAUGUUCUUGCUGGAAACUCUUAGGUUGUAUGGCCCUGUAGCUGUCAUUCAGAGAAAGGCAUGUUCAGAUCUCGAGGUCGGUGGCAUCAAAGUGCCCGAAGGCACAGUGCUCACAAUCCCCAUCGCAACGAUACAUCGUGACAAGGAGGUCUGGGGGGAGGACGCCAAUGAAUUCAAGCCUAUGAGAUUCGAGAAUGGAGUGACACGAGCCGGAAAGCACCCCAAUGCCUUGUUGUCUUUCUCUAGUGGGCCUAGGUCUUGCAUAGGGCAAAACUUUGCUAUGAUUGAGGCCAAAGCCGUGAUCGCCAUGAUUCUUCAGAGGUUCUCAUUCUCCCUAUCCCCUAAGUACGUCCAUGCCCCGAUGGGCAUGAUCACAGUGCGACCCAAGUUUGGGCUUCCCAUGGUCCUUAUGAGCCUAGAGAUGUAG